GCCGGGUGUGGUGGUGCAUGCCUAUAAUCCCUGUGUCUCCGGAGGCUGAGGCAGGAGGAUUGAGAGUUCAAAGCCAGCCUUCAGCAAUUUAGUGAGGUCCUAAGUAACUCAGCAAGACCCUGUCUGCU
This 128-nucleotide small RNA is filed under the name Marmota monax (woodchuck). The record is from RNAcentral. Lineage: Eukaryota; Metazoa; Chordata; Mammalia; Rodentia; Sciuridae.